RNAcentral lists this ribosomal RNA (429 nucleotides) under Bacteroidota bacterium. RNAcentral's name for it is "Bacteroidetes bacterium partial 16S ribosomal RNA". It matches the Rfam family "Bacterial small subunit ribosomal RNA", at positions 355 to 776 of the family's 1533-position model. The record is from RNAcentral. Lineage: Bacteria; Pseudomonadati; Bacteroidota.
UAGGGAAUCUUCGGCAAUGGGGGGAACCCUGACCGAGCAACGCCGCGUGAGUGAAGAAGGUUUUCGGAUCGUAAAGCUCUGUUGUUAAGGAAGAACGAGUGUGAGAAUGGAAAGUUCAUACUGUGACGGUACUUAACCAGAAAGGGACGGCUAACUACGUGCCAGCAGCCGCGGUAAUACGUAGGUCCCGAGCGUUGUCCGGAUUUAUUGGGCGUAAAGCGAGCGCAGGCGGUUAGAUAAGUCUGAAGUUAAAGGCAGUGGCUCAACCAUUGUAGGCUUUGGAAACUGUUUAACUUGAGUGCAGAAGGGGAGAGUGGAAUUCCAUGUGUAGCGGUGAAAUGCGUAGAUAUAUGGAGGAACACCGGUAGCGAAAGCGGCUCUCUGGUCUGUAACUGACGCUGAGGCUCGAAAGCGUGGGGAGCGAACAGG